RNAcentral lists this ribosomal RNA (419 nucleotides) under uncultured bacterium. RNAcentral's name for it is "bacterial SSU rRNA". It matches the Rfam family "Bacterial small subunit ribosomal RNA", at positions 358 to 774 of the family's 1533-position model. The record is from RNAcentral.
GGAAUAUUGGUCAAUGGCCGAGAGGCUGAACCAGCCAUGCCGCGUGCGGGAGGACGGCCCUAUGGGUUGUAAACCGCUUUUGUUGGGGAGCAAUAAGGAGCACGCGUGCUCUGAUGAGAGUACCCAGCGAAUAAGCAUCGGCUAACUCCGUGCCAGCAGCCGCGGUAAUACGGAGGAUGCGAGCGUUAUCCGGAUUUAUUGGGUUUAAAGGGUGCGUAGGCGGAAGGUUAAGCGUGAGGUGAAAUGCUGCUGCUCAACAGCAGAACUGCCUCGCGAACUGGUCUUCUGGAAUGCCCCUGCCGUGGGAGGAAUGUGUGGUGUAGCGGUGAAAUGCAUAGAGAUCACACAGAACACCGAUUGCGAAGGCAUCUCACGAAGGGGUGAUUGACGCUGAGGCACGAAAGCGUGGGGAUCAAACA